RNAcentral lists this ribosomal RNA (300 nucleotides) under uncultured Lactobacillus sp. RNAcentral describes it as "bacterial SSU rRNA". It matches the Rfam family "Bacterial small subunit ribosomal RNA", at positions 496 to 795 of the family's 1533-position model. Lineage: Bacteria; Bacillati; Bacillota; Bacilli; Lactobacillales; Lactobacillaceae. The record is from RNAcentral.
GCUAACAACGGUCAGUCGGGCGGGGUAAGACGUAGGGUGCGGGCGUUGUCCGGGAGGAUUGGGCGUAAAGAGCGUGUAGGCGGUUUGUCGCGGCUGCUGGGAAAAUCCAAGGCUGAACCGUGGACGGGCAGUGGGUACGGGCAGGCUAGAGGGUGGUAGGGGAGACUGGAAUUCCUGGUGUAGCGGUGAAAUGCGCAGAUAUCAGGAGGAACACCGAUGGCGAAGGCAGGUCUCUGGGCCACUACUGACGCUGAGAAGCGAAAGCAUGGGGAGCGAACAGGAUUAGAUACCCGGGUAGUC